Molecule: ribosomal RNA, 253 nt
Filed under: uncultured bacterium
Lineage: Bacteria
Description: partial 16S ribosomal RNA
Rfam family: Bacterial small subunit ribosomal RNA
Source: RNAcentral
UACGGGGGGGGCAAGCGUUGUUCGGAAUUACUGGGCGUAAAGGGUGCGUAGGUGGGUUGGUAAGUCAGUGGUGAAAUCCCCGAGCUUAACUUGGGAACUGCCAUUGAUACUAUCAGUCUUGAAUACCGUGGAGGUCAGCGGAAUAUGUCAUGUAGCGGUGAAAUGCUUAGAUAUGACAUAGAACACCAAUUGCGAAGGCAGCUGGCUACACGAAUAUUGACACUCAGGCACGAAAGCGUGGGGAUCAAACAGG